RNAcentral lists this ribosomal RNA (497 nucleotides) under uncultured bacterium. RNAcentral's name for it is "partial 16S ribosomal RNA". It matches the Rfam family "Bacterial small subunit ribosomal RNA", at positions 28 to 507 of the family's 1533-position model. The record is from RNAcentral.
GAUGAACGCUGGCGGCGUGCCUAAUACAUGCAAGUCGAGCGAACGGACGAGACGUUUGCUUCUCUGUUGUUAGCCGCGGGCGGGUGUGUCACAUGUGGAUCCCCUACCUAUCUGUCUGGGAUAACUUCGGGAAACCGGCGCUAAUCCCGGAUAAUCUUUUGCUCCGUAUGGUUCAAUAGUGAAAGUCGGUCUUGCUGUCUCUUAUCGCUGGAUCCGCGCUGCAUUAGCUAGUUGGUAAGGUAAAGGCUUACCAAGGCUACGAUGCAUAACCGACCUGCGGGGGGGAUCGGCCACACUGGAACUGAGACACCGUCCAGACUACUACGGGAGGCAGCAGUAGGGAACCUGACGCAAUGGGCGAAAGCCUGGCGGAGCAACGCCGCGUGAGUGAUGAAGGUCUUCGGAUCGUAAAACUCUGUUAUGAGGGAAGAACAUAUGUGGAAGUAACUGUGCACAGCUUGACGGUACCUAAUCAGAAAGCCACGGCUAACUACGUG